This 75-nucleotide transfer RNA is filed under the name Johnius carouna. RNAcentral describes it as "tRNA-Lys". It matches the Rfam family "tRNA". Rfam says of the family: Transfer RNA (tRNA) molecules are approximately 80 nucleotides in length. Their secondary structure includes four short double-helical elements and three loops (D, anti-codon, and T loops). The record is from RNAcentral. Lineage: Eukaryota; Metazoa; Chordata; Actinopteri; Sciaenidae.
CGUUGAGAAGCUUAUAUUGGGGGAAGCGUCGGCCUUUUAAGCUGAAGAUAGGUGAUUCCCAACCACCCUUAACGG